UACGUAGGGGGCAAGCGUUGUCCGGAAUCAUUGGGCGUAAAGAGCGUGUAGGUGGCUCGGUAAGUCCGCUGUGAAAGUCCAGGGCUCAACCCUGGAAAGCCGGUGGAAACUGUCGAGCUCGAGUCCGGAAGAGGCGAGUGGAAUUCCUGGUGUAGCGGUGAAAUGCGCAGAUAUCAGGAAGAACACCCGUGGCUAAGGCGGCUCUCUAGGACGGCACUGACGCUGAGACGCGAAAGCGUGGGGAGCGAACAGG
Molecule: ribosomal RNA, 253 nt
Filed under: uncultured bacterium
Lineage: Bacteria
Description: partial 16S ribosomal RNA
Rfam family: Bacterial small subunit ribosomal RNA
Source: RNAcentral